Perognathus longimembris pacificus (Pacific pocket mouse) is the source of this 531-nucleotide long non-coding RNA. RefSeq lists it as uncharacterized. The record is from RefSeq and is a predicted model, not a curated record. The transcript has 3 exons. NCBI's taxonomy places the organism in Eukaryota, Metazoa, Chordata, Mammalia, Rodentia, Heteromyidae.
UCAAGUGGUAGAGCGUCAGCAAGCAGGACAAGCAGGAGGCCCUAAACUCAAGACCAGAACCACUCAAGUUAAAUAAAGAAAAACAUCACUUGUUCUUUGGAAAAGACUAGGAGAAGGUAAGCAAGUCUUUGGCAAGUAAAAUUAAACAGUACACAAACACCAGGAUUUUAUUUUUUUGCCCACAGAUAGUGAGAUCUUUGAAAAUGUAAAAGCGUGGAAUGCUACAUAUUUAUAUGUGAAUAAGUAAAAUGACAUCUUUUGGUAAACAGAUUUUCAUUAGCUCAAAAUAAAAGUAGAAACAAAGUAGAUAAAGAAGACAAAGUAGAAAACCUGAAACCAUGUUGGGCAUUGAUGGUAUAUAAAAUAAAAACUAGAUGGGUUAUUUUCAUGAAACAAACAUUUCUGACAAUGAAAUCAGUCAAGAACACCACAGCAAAGAAAAUUACAGCCCAAUCUCAGGGGUGGGGGUAGAGCAGGGCACCAGUUCUUGAUUGAGAAAGAUUUUGUACCCCAGCAGAUGGGCCCUGGAGA